RNAcentral lists this ribosomal RNA (444 nucleotides) under uncultured marine eukaryote. RNAcentral describes it as "SSU rRNA". It matches the Rfam family "Eukaryotic small subunit ribosomal RNA", at positions 613 to 1058 of the family's 1831-position model. The record is from RNAcentral.
UUGCAGUUAAAAAGCUCGUAGUUGGAUGUCUAGCUUUGCGCGGACGGCCCGCCUUCGGGUUGAGUGCUGGAAGCGCUAGCUUGUUUUCCGGUUUGUGUCCCUUCCCUUGACUGUGGCGGGGUUCACGAUCCGGAUCUGUUACUUUGAAGAAAUUCGGGUGUUCAAAGCAGGCUUAUGCCGUGAAGACUGCAGCAUGGAAUAACAACAUAGGGCUAUCGCGUCUCAUUUUGUUGGUUCUAGGAUCGUAGCAAUGAUUGAUACGGACCGUUGGGGGUGCUGCUAUUCCGCGGCCAGAGGUGAAAUUCUCAGAUUCCCGGAAGAGCAACUUAUGCGAAAGCGUUCACCAAGGAGGUCCUGUUUAAUCAAGAACGAAAGUUGGGGGAUCGAAGACGAUCAGAUACCGUCGUAGUCUCAACCAUAAACUAUGCCGACUAGGGAUUGGAG